Molecule: ribosomal RNA, 305 nt
Filed under: uncultured bacterium
Lineage: Bacteria
Description: bacterial SSU rRNA
Rfam family: Bacterial small subunit ribosomal RNA
Source: RNAcentral
UUUCCUACGGGGGGCAGCAGUGGGGGAUAUUGCACAAUGGGGGGAACCCUGAUGCAGCGACGCCGCGUGAGUGAAGAAGUAUUUCGGUAUGUAAAGCUCUAUCAGCAGGGAAGAAGAAAGAUGGUACCUGAGUAAGAAGCCCCGGCUAACUACGUGCCAGCAGCCGCGGUAAUACGUAGGGGGCAAGCGUUAUCCGGAUUUACUGGGUGUAAAGGGAGCGUAGACGGCAGGGCAAGUCUGGAGUGAAAGCCCGGGGCCCAACCCCGGGACUGCUUUGGAAACUGCCAUGCUGGAGUGCUGGAGAG